CCUACGGGAGACAGCAGUAGGGAAUAUUGCUCAAUAGGGGAAACCCUGAAGCAGCAACGCCGCGUGGAGGAUGAAGGUUUUAGGAUUGUUAACUCCUUUUGUUAGAGAAGAUUAUGACGGUAUCUAACGAAUAAGCACCGGCUAACUCCGUGCCAGCAGCCGCGGUAAUACGGCGGGUGCAAGCGUUACUCGGAAUCACUGGGCGUAAAGGGUGCGUAGGCGGGGUAAUAAGUCAGAUGUGAAAUCCUGUAGCUUAACUACAGAACUGCAUUUGAAACUGUUACUCUGGAGUGUGGGAGAGGUAGGGGGAAUGCGUGGUGUAGGGGUAAAAUCCGUAGAGAUCAAGAGGAAUACUGAUUGCGAAGGCGACCUGCUGGAACAUUACUGACGCUGAUGCACGAAAGCGUGGGGAGCAAACAGGAUUAGAUACCCGAGUAGUC
Molecule: ribosomal RNA, 440 nt
Filed under: uncultured bacterium
Lineage: Bacteria
Description: partial 16S ribosomal RNA
Rfam family: Bacterial small subunit ribosomal RNA
Source: RNAcentral